UGUCAAGAGGGGUGGAAGGUGGUCAGGUUUGGGGGGGGGGGAAGAACCUCAGGCAGGCGCAUUGUACUCAGCAGUGGAAUGAAGGGCUUAACAUCGUAUGCAAAAAGGAAGCCCCUCUUAGGUUUUCACCAGGAUUAAAUGGAAUUAGCUUUGUAGUUUUUAUAAUCUUCUUCACAAAAGAAUGCAAUUUCAGUUUCAUUGGCGAUUGUAGCUGCUUUUAGAGUCCUAUCUGCUUUCAAACAGGAAUCUGUCAUCUUCUCCCAAACUCAACAUGAGUUCACUCGUCUGGUUUGUAAGCUUGAGACCACGUGGAGACAGAGAGGUCCCAGGAGCCCCAGCCCUGCCAGCUGCCAGCUGUUGGAGUCCUGCAGCCUGGGCACCAGUCGCACGAGUGAGCCAGCCUUCUGAUGACUCCAGCUCUAGCCAUUAUCUGCCUGCAACUACAUGACAGAUACAAAUGCCAACCACCUUGCUGAGGCCAGCAAACUCCCAGACUGUCUCUACUGGGAAACUCAGGGACCAGAGUGCCUGCCACUGCCCAGGAAGGUUCCUGACUUCCUCACCUCCCCUUGCUGCCUUACACCAAGCCACAUUCCCUUCGGCAACCUGAGCACCACCUGAGCAAAAUGCGUAAUGAAGACAAUG
Acinonyx jubatus (cheetah) is the source of this 645-nucleotide long non-coding RNA. RefSeq lists it as uncharacterized. The record is from RefSeq and is a predicted model, not a curated record. The transcript is spliced from 3 exons. NCBI's taxonomy places the organism in Eukaryota, Metazoa, Chordata, Mammalia, Carnivora, Felidae.